GGGCGAUUAGCUCAGUUGGUUAGAGCGCUUGCUCGACACGCAAGAGGUCAGCGGUUCGACUCCGUUAUCGCCCA
Molecule: transfer RNA, 74 nt
Filed under: Fidelibacterota bacterium
Lineage: Bacteria; Pseudomonadati; Fidelibacterota
Description: tRNA-Val
Rfam family: tRNA
About the family: Transfer RNA (tRNA) molecules are approximately 80 nucleotides in length. Their secondary structure includes four short double-helical elements and three loops (D, anti-codon, and T loops).
Source: RNAcentral